AGACCCGAAACCCGGUGAUCUAGCCAUGGGCAGGUUGAAGGUUGGGUAACACUAACUGGAGGACCGAACCGACUAAUGUUGAAAAAUUAGCGGAUGACCUGUGGCUGGGGGUGAAAGGCCAAUCAAACCGGGAGAUAGCUGGUUCUCCCCGAAAGCUAUUUAGGUAGCGCCUCGUGAAUUCAUCUCCGGGGGUAGAGCACUGUUUCGGCUAGGGGGCCAUCCCGGCUUACCAACCCGAUGCAAACUGCGAAUACCGGAGAAUGUUAUCACGGGAGACACACGGCGGGUGCUAACGUCCGUCGUGAAGAGGGAAACAACCCAGACCGCCAGCUAAGGUCCCAAAGUCAUGGUUAAGUGGGAAACGAUGUGGGAAGGCCCAGACAGCCAGGAUGUUGGCUUAGAAGCAGCCAUCAUUUAAAGAAAGCGUAAUAGCUCACUGGUCGAGUCGGCCUGCGCGGAAGAUGUAACGGGGCUAAACCAUGCACCGAAGCUGCGGCAGCGACGCUGAUGCGUUGUUGGGUAGGGGAGCGUUCUGUAAGCCUGCGAAGGUGGCCUGUGAGGGUUGCUGGAGGUAUCAGAAGUGCGAAUGCUGACAUAAGUAACGAUAAAGCGGGUGAAAAGCCCGCUCGCCGGAAGACCAAGGGUUCCUGUCCAACGUUAAUCGGGGCAGGGUGAGUCGACCCCUAAGGCGAGGCCGAAAGGCGUAGUCGAUGGGAAACGGGUUAAUAUUCCCGUACUUGGUGUUACUGCGAAGGGGGGACGGAGAAGGCUAUGUUGGCCGGGCGACGGUUGUCCCGGUUUAAGCGUGUAGGUGUGUGUUCCAGGUAAAUCCGGUUCACUUUAACACUGAGGCGUGACGACGAGGCACUACGGUGCUGAAGCAACAAAUGCCCUGCUUCCAGGAAAAGCCUCUAAGCAUCAGGUAACAUCAAAUCGUACCCCAAACCGACACAGGUGGUCAGGUAGAGAAUACCAAGGCGCUUGAGAGAACUCGGGUGAAGGAACUAGGCAAAAUGGUGCCGUAACUUCGGGAGAAGGCACGCUGACAC
This 1049-nucleotide ribosomal RNA is filed under the name Salmonella enterica. RNAcentral's name for it is "partial 23S ribosomal RNA". It matches the Rfam family "Bacterial large subunit ribosomal RNA", at positions 711 to 1757 of the family's 2925-position model. Lineage: Bacteria; Pseudomonadati; Pseudomonadota; Gammaproteobacteria; Enterobacterales; Enterobacteriaceae. The record is from RNAcentral.